Molecule: long non-coding RNA, 1757 nt
Organism: Felis catus (domestic cat)
Lineage: Eukaryota; Metazoa; Chordata; Mammalia; Carnivora; Felidae
Exons: 5
Source: RefSeq, a predicted model, not a curated record
GUUGGAGGGGAGUGGAGUGGCCUCAACAGAGAGGCCCCUCUUCCUCCCUCAAUUCCAGGGUGUGCCUGAGAGAGAGCUUCUGUGCUUCGCUCCAAAAAAAAGAUGGUGAAAUUGAGGUUCAUUUCAGGAAUUAUGGAACUUGCUGGAAGUCGUGCAGCUACUAAGUGAUAGAGACAUUAGUCUGAGGAGUCUUGUGGCCAUUUUGAAAUGUUAGAGUCCUAGGGAAAGAAAAAUCAUGGAAUUUCCAUAUUCAUGGAAAAACAGGACCUUCUCAGAUGACUAAAAGAAAUCAAAAUUCCAUUCACAAAAGAAAAAAGUUACGUGAAAUGUCUCUUUAGGAUAAAUUCCCAGAAAUGGAAUUGCUCUGGAUGCCCUGCACUGCUGAUUUGAUACAGAUUGCCAAAUGGCCUGAAGAGUUACUUUUCAAAUUUUAGGUCCCAGAUGUCCAGUUAUGGUGGAGCCCUCCCUACCUUUAAGCUCACUGUGAGCUCCCCAGAUUCUGCAAGAAAGGCCAGGGUAGAGAAAAUAUCCAGCGAAAAACACAACUAACCUGUGCCUGGUUCUGGAAGGUUCUUCACACACAUUAUCUUGUGCAAGCCACAGAUCAUUCUUAAGAAGCUGGUAUCAUCUGAUCUACUUUAUAUAUGAAGACUCGGAAGCUCAGAAACUGGAUAAAUUCCUCAAAGAGAGAAGUUUGCUAUUGAAACUUGACUUUAUGGGGCCACAAAAUGCCCUGGGCACUUGGAGGAUGAGUAGUAAAAGUAGGGUGAAGAGGCCAAGCUUUGUCUACUUUGAAUGCUUACCCUCAAUGCCACUGCUUCUUUGUCCUGUUCCUAACACUCUACAGAAACCAGUGCUAUGGAUGGGUACGGAGCCAACCCUCCCUCCAUAAAUGUCAGCACCUGCCUGGGGCUCCUAACAUUGGCCUUUAUCUUCCCCACAGGGCUGACUUUUUUACGAGUUGAAGUCUGAGAAACAAGUCAGUUUCCCACUUCUCUAAAAUCUUAAAAUAGGAAACAUCAGCCAUAAGCUAUGAGAGCAAGCCAGCCAAGGUGUAUGUUUGCUGGAAAUAAAACUGGUAAAAUAUUCUCCACUAGUGAUAAACUCUUGGAUGUGGAAAAUUGUCUGUACAGUUCCAAUGAUCGCAAGAGAUACAAGAAUUGCAGUCAGUGCCUUAUCGACUCCAAUGGCUCCAUUUAGUUUUACAAAUGUUGUUUAUUCAAAUCCUACUUCAACAAACUUCAUCUUUGCAAGGUCAAUAUUCUACCAUGUUCCAUUAAAUCUAAGAUGGCAUCAAUUUUAAGAUACUCUAUUAUCAUAUGUAGCACUAAGAAAGAAAGAACUGCGAUUAGACUGUAAACUACAUAGGCCUUUUAUGCAUCCCUUCACAUGCAACAGCUCUGUGCAGUCUUUGGUCCACUUGUAUCUUGCUUUAUGCCCCAGAAUUUCUCUGACACCACAGUAUGGGAUGCCUACACUUUGUACUGGCAUACCUGCAACAAAAGACUUGGACAAGUCAUGCCCUAUGGGGCCACUGCAACCAACUGCCCACAAUAUCCUCAGGCAGAUGCUGCAGAGCCAAAUUUUAUAAGGCUCUCCACAAAAGGUCCAAGAUGAAUUGCUAGUUGCCUACAGUCAUGGCCAUUCAAUAGUACUGACUUGCAUUGACAUCCCCUCCUUCCCUGUUCACACACUCACUGUUGGCCCCAAAUUAAACUACCUGCAUGAAGGUGCUACAAACAGUCUCAGGCAGGCCC